This 441-nucleotide ribosomal RNA is filed under the name uncultured bacterium. RNAcentral describes it as "partial 16S ribosomal RNA". It matches the Rfam family "Bacterial small subunit ribosomal RNA", at positions 338 to 795 of the family's 1533-position model. The record is from RNAcentral.
CCUACGGGAGGCAGCAGUGGGGAAUAUUGCACAAUGGGGGAAACCCUGAUGCAGCGACGCCGCGUGAGUGAAGAAGUAUUUCGGUAUGUAAAGCUCUAUCAGCAGGAACGAGACAAGACGGUACCUGACUAAGAAGCCCCGGCUAACUACGUGCCAGCAGCCGCGGUAAUACGUAGGGGGCAAGCGUUAUCCGGAAUCACUGGGUGUAAAGGGAGCGUAGACGGCUGUGCAAGGCUGAAGUGAAAGGCGGGGGCCCAACCCCUGGACUGCUUUGGGUACUGUACGGCUGGAGUGAAGGAGAGGUAAGUGGAAUUCCUAGUGUAGCGGUGAAAUGCGUAGAUAUUAGGAGGAACACCAGUGGCGAAGGCGGCUUACUGGACUGUAACUGACGUUGAGGCUCGAAAGCGUGGGGAGCAAACAGGAUUAGAUACCCGAGUAGUC